Cyanistes caeruleus (blue tit) is the source of this 415-nucleotide long non-coding RNA. NCBI's taxonomy places the organism in Eukaryota, Metazoa, Chordata, Aves, Passeriformes, Paridae. The record is from Ensembl.
UUAACGCAGUGGUUAUUGCUGGCCCUGGCCCUGGCGCUGCCCCCGGUGUCGGCCGAGCCGCGGCGGCUCCAGAUCGGGUGGCUCCUGCUGGCCCUGGCCCUGGCGCUGCCCCCGGUGUCGGCCGAGCCGCGGCGGCUCCAGAUCGGGUGGUUAUUGCUGGCCCUGGCCCUGGCGCUGCCCCCGGUGUCGGCCGAGCCGCGGCGGCUCCAGAUCGGGGUGAGGAAGCGGUGCCAAUUAACGCUAAUUAACGUGGCUCUUGCUGGCCCUGGCCCUGGCGCUGCCCCCGGUGUCGGCCGAGCCGCGGCGGCUCCAGAUCGGGGUGAGGAAGCGGCCGCAGCGCUGCCCCGAGAGAUCCCGGAGAGGAGACCUGCUCAGCCUCAUCUACACGGUACCGGGGAUACUGGGAUAGACUGGG